GAGUUUGAUCCUGGGUCAGAUUGAACGCUGGCGGCAUGCCUUACACAUGCAAGUCGAACGGUGAUAAGGGGCUUGCACCUUUGACGAGUGGCGAACGGGUGAGUAAUGCAUCGGAAUCUGCCUAUUAGUGGGGGAUAACGUGGCGAAACUCACGCUAAUACCGCAUACGACCUACGGGUGAAAGCGGGGGACCUUCGGGCCUUGCGCUAUGAGAUGAGCCGAUGUCGGAUUAGCUAGUUGGUGGGGUAAAGGCCUACCAAGCCGACGAUCUGUAGCUGGUCUGAGAGGAUGAUCAGCCACACUGGGACUGAGACACGGCCCAGACUCCUACGGGAGGCAGCAGUGGGGAAUAUUGGACAAUGGGCGCAAGCCUGAUCCAGCAAUACCGCGUGUGUGAAGAAGGCCUGAGGGUUGUAAAGCACUUUCAACGGGAAGAACACCUAUGGGUUAAUACCCGGUAGGAUGACAUUACCCAUACAAGAAGCACCGGCUAACUCCGUGCCAGCAGCCGCGGUAAUACGUAGGGUGCAAGCGUUAAUCGGAAUUACUGGGCGUAAAGCGUGCGUAGGCGGUUGUUUAAGUCAGAUGUGAAAGCCCCGGGCUCAACCUGGGAACUGCAUUUGAUACUGGGUCACUAGAGUUGAGUAGAGGG
RNAcentral lists this ribosomal RNA (652 nucleotides) under Methylomonas sp. RNAcentral describes it as "bacterial SSU rRNA". It matches the Rfam family "Bacterial small subunit ribosomal RNA", at positions 9 to 658 of the family's 1533-position model. Lineage: Bacteria; Pseudomonadati; Pseudomonadota; Gammaproteobacteria; Methylococcales; Methylococcaceae. The record is from RNAcentral.